Molecule: ribosomal RNA, 119 nt
Filed under: Phaseolus vulgaris (common bean)
Lineage: Eukaryota; Viridiplantae; Streptophyta; Magnoliopsida; Fabales; Fabaceae
Source: RNAcentral
AGGUGCGAUCAUACCAGCACUAAUGCACCGGAUCCCAUCAGAACUCCGCAGAUAAGCGUGCUUGGGCGAGAGUAGUACUGGGAUGGGUGACCUCCUGGGAAGUUCUCAUGUUGGAUUUU